RNAcentral lists this transfer RNA (73 nucleotides) under Candidatus Woesearchaeota archaeon. Its description in RNAcentral is "tRNA-Gln". It matches the Rfam family "tRNA". From Rfam's summary of the family: Transfer RNA (tRNA) molecules are approximately 80 nucleotides in length. Their secondary structure includes four short double-helical elements and three loops (D, anti-codon, and T loops). The record is from RNAcentral. Lineage: Archaea; Nanobdellati; Candidatus Woesearchaeota.
AGCCCCGUAGUGUAGCGGUCAAGCAUGUCGGGCUCUGGACCUGGCGACGGCAGUUCGAAUCUGCCCGGGGCUA